AAUGACAGUGGAGUAAAGAGUUACAUUGUAUGUUCCGUUAUAUUAUGGAAGAUUUCGAAGUUUAACAUUUUUUAACACAGCUGUUUUUUGCAUUAACGAGCUCUUUAUAUUUGUUUGUUUUGAUAUUAUGGAAGAUUUAUCUUCUUCUCAAAACGGAGGUAAUAAAACAAAAGAGAAACAGCUGGAUUUUAGUCAAAUCAGUAAUAUUGUGUAAGUGCUCUAACUUUUGGUGUCGAUAACAGUCAAGAAGUAAGCUUUGGAAAAAAUUUUCGUAAA
Monomorium pharaonis (pharaoh ant) is the source of this 276-nucleotide long non-coding RNA. RefSeq lists it as uncharacterized. NCBI's taxonomy places the organism in Eukaryota, Metazoa, Arthropoda, Insecta, Hymenoptera, Formicidae. The record is from RefSeq and is a predicted model, not a curated record. The transcript is spliced from 2 exons.